GAUGAACGCUGGCGGCGUGCCUAAUACAUGCAAGUCGAGCGAACGGACGAGAAGCUUGCUUUUCUGAUGUUAGCGGCGGACGGGUGAGUAACACGUGGAUAACCUACCUAUAAGACUGGGAUAACUUCGGGAAACCGGAGCUAAUACCGGAUAAUAUUUUGAACCGCAUGGUUCAAAAGUGAAAGACGGUCUUGCUGUCACUUAUAGAUGGAUCCGCGCUGCAUUAGCUAGUUGGUAAGGUAACGGCUUACCAAGGCAACGAUGCAUAGCCGACCUGAGAGAGUGAUCGGCCACACUGGCACUGAGACACGGUCCAGACUCCUACGGGAGGCAGCAGUAGGGAAUCUUCCGCAAUGGGCGAAAGCCUGACGGAGCAACGCCGCGUGAGUGAUGAAGGUCUUCGGAUCGUAAAACUCUGUUAUUAGGGAAGAACAUAUGUGUAAGUAACUGUGCACAUCUUGACGGUACCUAAUCAGAAAGCCACGGCUAACUACGUG
Molecule: ribosomal RNA, 497 nt
Filed under: uncultured bacterium
Lineage: Bacteria
Description: partial 16S ribosomal RNA
Rfam family: Bacterial small subunit ribosomal RNA
Source: RNAcentral